RNAcentral lists this non-coding RNA (258 nucleotides) under Solanum tuberosum (potato). Its description in RNAcentral is "rRNA SSU_rRNA_eukarya". It matches the Rfam family "Eukaryotic small subunit ribosomal RNA", at positions 1194 to 1485 of the family's 1831-position model. The record is from Rfam by way of RNAcentral. Lineage: Eukaryota; Viridiplantae; Streptophyta; Magnoliopsida; Solanales; Solanaceae.
UUUGACUCAAGACGGGAAACCUUACUAGGUCCAGAAAUAGUAAGUAUUUCUUGAUUCUAUGGGUGGUGUGCAUGGUUAUUCUUAGUUGGUGGAGCGAUUUGUCUGGUUAAUUCCGUUAGCAAACAAGACCUCAGCCUGCUAACUAGCUAUGCGGAGGUAUCCCUUCGCGACCACUUCUUUGAGGGACUCCAGCCUUUUAGGCCGCGGAAAUUUGAAACCAUCCACUAAAUAAUAGGUUUGUUUCAUGCAAUGUUUUAG